Non-coding RNA from Punctularia strigosozonata HHB-11173 SS5, 84 nucleotides. The record is from the annotation of a RefSeq genome assembly. NCBI's taxonomy places the organism in Eukaryota, Fungi, Basidiomycota, Agaricomycetes, Corticiales, Punctulariaceae.
GCUCGCUUGGCGAAGUGGCUAGCGCGUCGAUGGUGACGAUCCGGGAUUUUGCCCAGGUCACGGGUUCGAUCCUGCUCGCGCGCA